Molecule: long non-coding RNA, 1753 nt
Organism: Phragmites australis (common reed)
Lineage: Eukaryota; Viridiplantae; Streptophyta; Magnoliopsida; Poales; Poaceae
Exons: 3
Source: RefSeq, a predicted model, not a curated record
UCUUCUUCUCCCCCCUCCCCCGGACCAACUCUCCCGUACACCUAGUGUUGCCCAAUCCAUGAACCUUCUCUCCGGAGCCGGCGCCGUCGGUAACUUCGGCCUCUCCCCGAGCACCUACACUCCGGCGGAGGCGGGGGAAGAGGCGACCUGCGAAAGCCCUCUAUCGAGCCCCUGCGCGAGUUCCUCCUGUGCGGACGCCGUCGCCGACCUCGAAGUCUACAAAGCGUAGCGCACCUGCAAGCCCGACGAGGCCCUUCGUCGACCCGCUCUGCGGGCUCUUCCCGCGUAGACGCCGUCACCCCGAGCACCUGCACGCCGGCGGAAGUGGGUGAAGCGGCGACCCAUCCGUGGAUUUCUGUGGUACCGGCACCCUUAGCAAACAGGGCCUCUCCCCCAGCACCUGCACGUCGGCGGAAGUGCGUGAAGCGGCGACCCGACAACGCCCUACAAAGAGCCUCUCCGCGGGUCCUUCCCGUGCCGGCGCCCUCAGCUACCUCGGCCUCUUCCAAGUGCAGCGAGUCGCCGAACCUAUCGACUGAUUCCAACCGUGGCGCACACUUCCUGAAGCUUGGACUCCGGCAGACCUCCUGAAGUUCGGCCUCCCGUAGCUAGCUCCAAGGGAAUAGCUUGACGAAGCAUAAAAGGCUGGCCUCCAUUUUCCUCUCUGAAUAUCUUUCAUUGAUAAUAUUAGGUCUCACAGUACAAUGACCACAAUUGCAUCUCUAAGUGAAUCUUUCAUUGAUAACAUUAGAUUUCACAGUGCAAUGGUUAGAGUUGCUUUUCUGAGUACAAUGGCCAGAAUUGCCUCUCUGAGUGAAUAUCUUUUAUUGAUAACAUUAGAAUUCACAGUGCAAUGGUUAAAGUUACUCUUCUGAGUAAAUUCAUAUACAUGGGAUCUUUUUGGCUUGAUCAGUGCGAUCUGAAAAUUUGCUUGGCUAUAAUUCAGUUUAUGUUUUGAUUGAUGAGGGCUGAAUCGUUGCGAAUAGGCAUGAUCUUGGUGCAUUCUGAGUAGAAUCUGUGGGGUAAGUUUCAGAUAUGGUGUUGAAAUUGGCAAUCUAUGAAGAGUUAAAUCAGUCAGGAUAGAUAAUUAGCAUAUAUCUUAACGAUUCUUCAGUCGAUAUUGCAGUGGAAGUAUACACUGUCAUUAAGUUUUUUAGUGGUGUAGUAAAUUCCAACUUGAUCUGUUAAGUUGUACAGUGAUCUCACUCCAACUUCAGCUGUCCAUUUUUAGUGCUAGACGUGUUCACAGCAUAUUGCAUAGUAAAAUCCCUGCCUGAUGGUUUGCCCUGAAUCAAUAUCUUUAAUCUAUCAAGACAUUACUAUAAUUCUGAAGACCGUAGCAUCUAAAUUCCGCUUGAAAUUGGGAUGUCCUUCUUCUUUGCCACAAUUCAUUACUACUUUUGAGUCCUCAAGCAACUGAAGUAGUCUGAACUGUCAACUAUAGUUCUUUUCAUAUGUGAGAUUGUGUGUCACCAGGUUAAUGCCUUAUUGGAACCUGCAAAACUGCUGCCUAUUUGGGAUUUUUUGAGAGUCACCAGGUUGAUUGGUGCGCCUACGCCGCACCCGUCGAGGUUUCCACAACGGUGGAUCACCAGGGGUUCGUCAGCCACGGCUUUCUGGCGUUGGUUCUUGAUCAGACCAAACUGCCAAGCAUCUACAUAAAGAGAGGAACUCGUUUUGCGGGUCGUUGACGACGAAUGACGACCGAGGCAGACCUGGAUCACCGCCAGAGGUGCUAAGAUGGUGGGGGAAA